Cervus elaphus (red deer) is the source of this 3288-nucleotide long non-coding RNA. RefSeq lists it as uncharacterized. NCBI's taxonomy places the organism in Eukaryota, Metazoa, Chordata, Mammalia, Artiodactyla, Cervidae. The record is from RefSeq and is a predicted model, not a curated record. The transcript is spliced from 2 exons.
CUGUAGCCCACAAGGCUCCUCUGUCCGUGGGAUUAUCCCAGCAAGAAUACUGGAGUGGGUUGCCAUUUCCUACUCCAGGAGACCUUCUCGACUCAGGGAUCAAACCCACGGCUCCGGCAUUGGCACUGGGCCAGCCCCAACCUGUGACAGGUAGGAUACGGGAAAUCAGUCUAGAAGCCAAGGUCAUGCUUGCUACAAGGACAGUCAGCUGAGCCUGGCAUGGAGGCCUCACCUGCCAAAGCAAAGGUUGCUCUGGACAACUGCCCAGCCAUGCUGUGUGGACUCACACCAUCCUGGUGGGGGUCCUUCUGUCUUUUCCUGGGAGAAAGUAGCAAGAAGUUUAACAAGGGUGUUUACUGACUUCUCACGUACCUGUGGGGCUAUGCUGGACCUGGGACCCUUCAGGAGAGAAGCUCUGGGGCAGAGACCAUUGCUGGAGCCAGAAUCACUAGGGUCUGUAUAUAAUUCAGUGUGCUCAGAUGCUGUCUUGUCUACGUCUGUUUUUAAAGAGGUUCUUCUGUGAGACACAAUCCGCCGGUCUCAGGUCAGGAGAAGACAUGGGUGUCCUUCACCAAGCUGUCCUUCACCAGCUGCCCACGCCCACGUCAUCAUUGUUCAUGGUCAAGGACCAAAUUCCUACCAAGUGUCUGGUAAUCUCUCCAGAGAGACCCCAGGAAGCCGCUGAUGAAGAGAUGCUCUGAGAGUCUGAAUCUGUCACUGCGUCCAGGCAACACACAUAAAUGGACAAGUCCUGAGGCUCUUCCAGGAAGAGCCUCCUCAGUCAGCCCUUCGUCCCUUCCUCCCUUUCCUUCCUGCCCCCCACCCUGACCUCUUCUUUAUCUCCUUCUCUCAUCUUUCCGUUCUACCAGAAGGAAGACUGGUCAAAGACUGGUUCAUUUGUUUACGCACAGUCUUGUUCUAGAAAGGCUCCUUGAAAGAGUGCAGAAAACACAGCUAGGUGGUAUCUGUGUCACGUAGGACAGCGAGAGAAGGAAUAGCAGUGGUGGUCAAAACCUGAGGCCCGGAAAUGAGACAGACUCAUUCAAGCCCAGCGGAGCUGUGUGGCCCUUGGUUCUGCAUCCCAGGCGUCGGUGCUCUCUCCGGAGAUCUGGCCUUGCCCUCCCUGACUGUGUCAUCUUCCAGUGUACAACUGUCAAUCCCAUUCAUGAACAGAUGAGUCUUUUUACAGCAGAGGCUCUUCCCGUUAUCUGGAAGCCCAGUGAGGAAAGUUAUUAAGGGCAGCGAUGCACCCGUGAAAAGGUUACUCUUCUCGCAUCCCCCUGCGGCCAUGGUAUUAAGCUCUGGACAAUGAGAUGGAAAGAAGACCAUGUAGCCUCACCUUCCCCGACUCUUCCUGUUCCCAGACUGUGGAAUUCAUGAGGAGAGCACCCUGGUUCAUGCUGGACCAUGACGUGGCCUUGGGGACAGCAGCCACAUGCUGGGGACGAUAAAGAAAAGACAGAGAGACAGGUGUCGGGUCCUUGAUGAGGAGUGCAUUCCCUGUAUCAGCCCUAAGGGGCCUACCUCCAGAUUACCACCAGCUGGGUAAGGAAUAUGCCUUUUUGUUGAAGCUACUGAUAUUCAGGAUUUCUGUUAUGUGUACAUGUGCGCUCAGAUGUAUCUCAUUCUUUGCAACCCCAUGGACAAUAGCCCACCAGACUCCUGUGUCCAUGGGAUUUCCCAGGCAAGAAUACUGAAGUGAGUUGCCAUUUCCUCUUCCGGGGAAUCUUCCCAACCAAGGGAUCGAACUCACAUCUCUUGCAUCUCCUGCAUUGGCAGGUAGAUUCUUUACCACUUAGCUACCUGGGAAGCAUUCUGUUGUAGGAAGCCAUGCCAAAUUCUUUUUUUUUUUUUUGGCCAUGCUACAUGGCUUGUGGGAUCUUAGUUCCUGACCAGGGAUUGAACCCAGGCCAUAGCAGUGAAAGCACAGAGUGCUAACCACUGGACCACCAGGGCAGUCCUGCCAUACCUAAUUCUAAGUCUCUCUUUCAAAUCUUUGUGUCUAGCUAUGCUCAUUUCACCUGCAUAUCUGACAUUUCUUCUUGAAUGGUAACUAAGCAUCUCAAACUGAAAAAGACCCAAACAGAACUCUUGACAUUUUUCUCAUCUUUUUUUCAUGCUCACUGACUUAGGAUGGAAACCAGGGAGUCAUCCUCAAUUCCUGUUUACUUCCCUCUCCCACAUCAGCAAAAUUUACGGGCUCUACCUCCAAAGUAGACCCCAGGUCGCUCCACUCACCACCUGCCCAGCUCUCACCAUCGUAGCCACUGACCUCUUUUAUGUGGAAUCUCAUAAAAGUAUCUCACCCACUCUGAUUCCACUCCUCCUCCAAUAAUGCUUCCUCCAGAGCAGCCGGAAAACAUACAUCAGAUCACAUCACUCAUCUGCUCAAAGCUUCUUGUUCCCACUGCAGUCACCCCACUCGUCAUGAGCUGGACUUCUUGACCUCCUGCCUUUUCUAUCCUAACAUCCUCAACCCACCAAUAAAUAGUCUGGGAACACUCCUCAGUAAUCUUCCCAGGCUACCCCUACCUGAACUUAUCCUCUCAAAAGCUUGCAGGGCAGGAUGGUGGUGCUGGGGGUGGGGAGAUGCAUAUACAGAAGUCAUAGUACACACGUAAGGUUUCUUGUAUUUUAUUGUAAAAUUUCAAGGAGAUUUUGCAGUCAAUGCUAUAAUACAUUGAACCAUUGGGCAAAUGGGUGGCCAGCAAGAAGCUACGCUUUGACCCGGUGAAGCUGGAGCCUGGCCACCUGUGAGGUCACAUCGCACAUCACCUGGGGACCCUCUCCUGCUUUUGUUCUGACUUUGGGCUAGUUUAUCAAAGUUCACUGCUCUCCCUGAACCUGAAGUGUGCAGGGAUCGCUUUGGGGGUCAACCCCCUCAGAAUUGUUGCUUGGCGUGGGAAGGUCAGAUGCUCCCACAGAUCGGCAGGAAAAUACAGAUUGUUUAUGAAUGUUAAAAACAUGAGUGGUCAAAAGUCAAUGAAAUUAGCUAAGUACGGCCAAGUUUUGCAAGCUCUGCAGCAGGAUGAAACAGCAAAUCUUUCACUGAUAGAGGGUUGUGAUUAAAGCAAGGAACUGCAGCCCACGGAGAAGUGAUCUGCUUGCCACCACCCCUGCUCCACGAACAUGUCCUCCACGCCGCCCCCGGCAGACACCUCAGUCCCCCCAGCUCCUCCUGAAGCUGGUCCCACUCCUAGCACUGUGUCCUCCCUCUUACAGGUCUUCUACCCAAACGCCGGUCCAGGGCUGUAAUGAGAAGGGAAGGGACCAACCAGUCUCUUUUUU